CUGAAGUGAUCUGCCCACCUCGGCUUCCCAAAGUGCUGGGACUGCAGGUGUGAGCCACUGCGCCUGGCCCCUUCAGGUGGGUUUUGAGGCUUCACGUUGCUGCUGCAAUAAAUUACCACACACUUAGUGGCUUAAAACAGCACAGAGGUAUUCCCUUACAUUUCUGAAGGCCAGAAUUCUAAAAUCAGUCCCACUGAGUCAAGGUGGGAGCAGGGUCAGUGCCUUCCCAGGCUCUGCGGGAGAAUCUGUUUCCUGGCCCUGGAGGCGGCCUGUACUCCUUAGCUUGUGCUGCCCUUCUGGAAUGACUCGAGUUUCCUGCUUUCAUCACUACACCUCCCACCGCUCUCCAUCACCUGCUGUGCUCUUACGAGGAUCCAGCUGAGACAUGUUUUAGGAAGUUUGCUAAAAGACCCCUGGAGACGUCCUCAUUGUGGCCUCCCUGCUGUUGUGUUUAAUUUGGUUGAUCUUCUCUGCCCUCCUGCUUUUCAGAAUUAAAAGGCUAAAAAGAGUUUUCAGAGAAAUGGAAUAAUUGUAUUGCUGAUCUACGUAAACAAGUUGAAGAAUUGUCUGAAAGAAAAUAUGGUGUGUCUGAACUGGAAAAGUCCUGUGAUAGUUUGUUCAUGAGCAUUUACACAAUGGAGUUACUGUUCAUCAUGGGGGUACUGUGGACAAGCCCAGGGCUGCUGACAUAAUCUUAUGAAUUCAACACAUGAAGAUUUACAACUUGAUAAACCAGCUUCAGGAGAUCAGAACUUCUUACAAUACAACUGAUGUUACUCAGCCUAGAACAAAUACAACAGGGAUUGUGCUGCAUUCUGACUUAGGUUCUGCCAUCGAACACAGAAUGCCCUGAUCCUUAGAGGCAGAGGCAGCUCUUCAGCCUAUGGGAAAACUGUGGAUUUAGUUACUCCACUCUGCCAUGUCCUUCCACCACUGCCUGCACAUUUGAGACCAAGGAUAGAGAUUGGGAAAAAUCCAUAGUUCUCCUGACUCAGAGUUUGGCUCCGGCACUCUCAUUUCAGCCAUAGCUGCAGACAAAGCACACGACUGCUGGGCACUGUGGCUCAAGAGAAGGGGGAGAUGCAGGAAGAAGAUGAGCCUUAAGUCUGAACACUGAGGAAUUCAUGUGCAUCAGUCAGACCUCCUGUGCAAGGAAGGAUGUGGUUACUACGGCAACCCUGCCUGGCAGGGUUUCUGCUCCAAGUGCUGGAGGGAAGAGUACCACAAAGCCAGGCAGAAGGAGAUUCAGGAGGACUGGGAGCUGGCGGAGCGACUCCAGUGGGAGGAAGAGGCCUUUGCCAGCAGUCAGAGCAGCCAAGGGGCCCAAUCCCUCACAUUCUCCAAGUUUGAAGGAAAGAAAACCAACGAGAAGACCCACGAGGUUACCACAGUGAAGAAAUCUUCAGUGCGUCUUCCAGGGUCGGAUCAAAGAAGGCAGAAAUUCAGGAAGCAAAAGCCAGUCCUUCCAUAAACCGGCGAACCAGCAUUGAAACGGAUAGAGUGUCUAAGGAGUUCAUAGAAUUUCUCAAGACCUUCCACAAGACAGGCCAAGAAAUCUAUAAACAGACCAAGCUGUUUUUGGAAGGGAUGCAUUACAAAAGGUGCCUCCAGAAAGGGUUGAGAAGAUAAUGGAUCAGAUUGAAAAGUACAUCAUGACUCAUCUCUGUAAAUAUGCGUUCUGUCCAGAACCCCAGUGAGCCUGGAAGACUGGGUGCUAUGGGAAAUGUCAUCAAUCCAAUGCUAGUGAAAGAUGUGACUGGGGAAUGCUGAAAAAUGCGCACCCCUGGGAGGAAUGAGGAAAGAUGACAUCCACUGACUUGUUAUUUUUUUGAGAAGGAGUCUUGCUCUGUUGCCCAGGCUGGAGUGUGGUGGCACGAUCUCGGCUCACUGAUGAUGAGAAGAAAGAUCUUGCCAUUCAAAAGAGGAUCAGAGUGGAAGCUUCUCUGUGGUGUCAGAAAGACGAGGAAUGUGGUGACCUCACCUAUCCAUCUCCCUCAAGGCAGCUUUUGUUUUUCUGCAGUGACCGUACUUGCAAUAAUUAAACAUAGUUGGUCAUUUAAAAUACAUCUCUGAUACUCUCGUCAAAGGUGGAGCCCAGUCCCUAUCGCCUUGAGUGAGGGCUGGGUUACGUGAUUCCCUUCUGACAGAUAGGAAAAAGCAAAAGUGAUGGCUUGCAACUUUGCAAACUACAUCAUAAAAGGUACUGUGGCUUCCUCCUUGCUCACUCUUUGAUUACUCACUUGGGAAAGCCAGCUGUCACACCAUGACACCUAAGCAGCCUGUAGAGAGGCUCAUGUAACAGGAACUGAGGCCUCCUGUCAGCAGUCACAUGAGGGAGCCAUCUUGGAAACAGGCUUUAGGUGACUGCAGUCUCAGUGGACAGCUUGAGUGCAAUGUCAUGAGACACCCUGAGCCCAAAUGACCCAGCUAUGCCACUCCUGAAUUCCUGACCCACAGAAAUGGAGAUCCUAACUUAAGUUCUUGGACUCACUGAGGCAGUAAAAGAACCAUAUCCUGUGUUUGAAUCAAAUCCCAAGUUCCUGUACGUAGAAGGUUUGCCAGACAGGAUUCCCUUUCGAAGCCCUCCUGGUUUGGAAUUCCAUGACUUGAAAGGAUCGUCCAUGGGAGUAAUAAAAUCAAAUUUGUUGGUAAAAAACCUGAACUGGUUAUUUCCUACUUGCCUCCUGGAGUUGCUAAUAAAAUAAACACUAAAGCUUCGCAGUUUCUAAAAAGACCAUGAAGCCCUGAGAGUAAUGAAAAGGUUCCUGAAAUUGAGGUCACUGUGGAAGGAGAAUCUAAUGCCUGAUGAUCUGUCACUAUCUCCCAUCACCCCCAGAUGGGACCAUCUAGUUGCAGGAAAAGAAGGUCAAGACUCCCAGUCAUUCUACAUUAUGCCUCAGCCAAGAUGUCUCACCCCACUCUCUCUGAUGCAACAAGAAGCCCCUGGAGAACGUUUCAGUCCCAUUUUGUACUUCUGUCAUGUGCUCAUCACAGUCUGGUGGAAUUUAAAUGACCUCUUAUCAAGAUGGAUAAACCCAAGUUUCCCAGUGCUGGAAUAUAGAAAAUGGAUGGACAAGAAGUGACCUCACAAUGACUCAAGCUACCACUUAAUGUUGAUUGUGAUGAAAUGCCAGCCGAGGCAUAUGCCAUUCAAGCUAAGGGUGCUACACUUGACCACUGCGGCAGUAUAGAUGAGUCUGAAGAAUGGUAUGGGAUGGAUACUUACGAAUGCACUCGAGCAGGGGUCUCCAUCCACAGGGCCACAGAGCCAGAGGUGAGCAGCAGCUGGAUCUACCAUGAAAGACUUCAGAGUCCAGGAAGAGAGACUGAUUGGGCAACAUGUUAUUCAGUUACAAAAAGACUUGGACUAUGACUCAAAAAUGAUCAAAUAAUAGUGCAUGCAUCCAAUGCAAUAAGAAGCACUUCUGGAGGGUGAGAGAAGCAUCCAGUUAAGGUGACAUUGAAGCUGGGUCCUGAAAGAUGAGGAAGAAUUGUAUGAGAGUGGGCAGAGAAGGGGGAGGUGGAGGGAUGGGGAAUGGGCUGAGAUGGAGUGAGCUGCUCAAGCAGGGAAACCAGCACUGUAAAGACCUGGUCAAUAAAGAUGGCACAUUUUAUUCAGGGAAUGGUGAAUUAAUUGUGGCAGGAAUGCUUUGGAGAGAGAGUAAUUUGCUUGUAUGGAAUUUUGCCCAAGAGACCUCAUUACAGUUUCUAAUCUUUUGAUGUUAUCGUCUAUCACUGUCCUUGUCAGAUAGUUUGGAAUAGGUAUAAUGAUCACAAUAACAUCAAGCAUAAUAUUUCAUUAAUUCUCACAAAAUCACAGGUAGGUGCCACAGUUAUCCCCAUUUUGUGAAUGAAGUGAUGAAGACUUAGGAAUGAUGAGUGAUUGCCCAAGCUCACCUGGAUAUUAAGAGGUCUUGCUCUGUUGUCCAGGCUGGAAUGUGGUAGUGCUAU
Molecule: long non-coding RNA, 3951 nt
Filed under: Homo sapiens (human)
Lineage: Eukaryota; Metazoa; Chordata; Mammalia; Primates; Hominidae
Description: HSALNT0341574
Source: RNAcentral